This 71-nucleotide transfer RNA is filed under the name Fidelibacterota bacterium. RNAcentral describes it as "tRNA-Gln". It matches the Rfam family "tRNA". From Rfam's summary of the family: Transfer RNA (tRNA) molecules are approximately 80 nucleotides in length. Their secondary structure includes four short double-helical elements and three loops (D, anti-codon, and T loops). Further hydrogen bonds mediate the characteristic L-shaped molecular structure. tRNAs have two regions of fundamental functional importance: the anti-codon, which is responsible for specific mRNA codon recognition, and the 3' end, to which the tRNAs corresponding amino acid is attached (by aminoacyl-tRNA synthetases). tRNAs cope with the degeneracy of the genetic code in two manners: having more than one tRNA (with a specific anti-codon) for a particular amino acid; and 'wobble' base-pairing, i.e. permitting non-standard base-pairing at the 3rd anti-codon position. Lineage: Bacteria; Pseudomonadati; Fidelibacterota. The record is from RNAcentral.
UCGGGGAUCGUCCAAUGGCAGGACCACGGCCUUUGGAGUCGUUAAUCUAGGUUCGAAUCCUGGUCCCCGAG